This 650-nucleotide ribosomal RNA is filed under the name uncultured archaeon. RNAcentral's name for it is "bacterial SSU rRNA". It matches the Rfam family "Archaeal small subunit ribosomal RNA", at positions 128 to 779 of the family's 1478-position model. The record is from RNAcentral.
ACCUCCGGGAAACUGAGGAUAAUAUUCCAUAGGUGCCUACCGCUGGAAUGCACUGGCACUCAAAAGUUCCGACGCCUUAGGAUGUGGCUGCGGCCGAUUAGGUUGACGGUGGGGUAACGGCCUACCGUGCCCUUAAUUGGUACGGGUUGUGAGAGCAAGAGCCCGGAGAUGGAAUCUGAGACACGAUUCCAGGCCCUACGGGGCGCAGCAGGCGCGAAACCUUUACACUGUACGGAAGUAUGAUAAGGGGACCCCGAGUGCCCGCGCCUAGCGUGGGCUUUUCUGAACCGUAAAGAAGUUCAGGAAUAAGGGCUGGGUAAGACCGGUGCCAGCCGCCGCGGUAACACCGGCAGCUCAAGUGAUGGCCGAUAUUAUUGGGCCUAAAGCGUCCGUAGCUCGCCGUGAAAGUCCAUCGGGAAAUCCAUCCGCUCAACGGAUGGGCGUCCGGUGGAAACUCCACGGCUUGGGACCGGAGGACCCGAGGGGUACGUCGUGGGUAGGAGUGAAAUCCUGAGAUCCUCGACGGACCGCCGGUGGCGAAAGCGCCUCGGGAGGACGGAUCCGACAGUCAGGGACGAAAGCUAGGGUCUCGAACCGGAUUAGAUACCCGGGUAGUCCUAGCCGUAAACGAUGCUCGCUAGGUGUGGCGU